Molecule: long non-coding RNA, 2763 nt
Organism: Globicephala melas (long-finned pilot whale)
Lineage: Eukaryota; Metazoa; Chordata; Mammalia; Artiodactyla; Delphinidae
Source: RefSeq, a predicted model, not a curated record
CAGAGUUCUGGAAAUAAACUCUGUAUCAAUGUGAGGGGAGAGGAAGAAAAAGGAAAGCAGAGACAUUGAGAUCGGUUGCAAAUAUAAGAUCACAGGAAAAGGAUGGGGGCAUAAUGUGAAACCCAAGCAUACGCUAAGGUAGUUAUAAAUAGAAGAAGAAGCCUGAAAAUUAUGAAAAAUCAGCAGGCAUGAGGAUUCCCACCUCCUUAACAGCUUCCCGUGAGGCAGCUGCUUCUAGGUGAUGUCACUUUUUGAGAAUCCAAGGGCAAAGAAGCAGCUAAGCGAGCUGGAGCCUUCUCUCUGGCACAAUCAGCAUCACACCUCUCAGUGACUUGUGGGAAUUCAAAAAGAGAUUAUCCUCUCACUCAGCGUCCUGACGCCUCAUUGCUGUGAAGUGCUCUUCCACUGCUCCCAUAGCACCAAUGAGGCUAUGGUGUAAAGCCUGUUGACAUUCUCAUUCCCCAGUAAGACAAGAACUCUCUGAGGCAGGGGCCAUGCUGUAUUCAUCACUGCAUCCUCAGCCCAUGUCCAUUGCUCAACACAUAUUAAGUGUUCAAUAAAGGUUUGUUGUAGAAAUGGCUGAGUGAGUGAAUGAAAAAUACGAUUCUGCUUUUUUCAGUAAAAUAAUUCCCACCAAAAUGGAAAUAAAUAAAUAAAUAAAUUUUAAACAUUAAAAAUUUUAAAAAAGGAAAGAAUCAUCAUUAGGAGUAUCAUUUACUAUAAUAGAAGUUAUGGUAGAAAGUUCCUUCUAGUCAAGUAUAAAGUUCUAGAGCUAUUUUCUUAAUAUAUACUAAUAUUUUUAAUAUUAUGUCUUCUUAUCUACUUUUUAAAAUAGAUAUAUUCCAGAUCUAUAAUCUUAACAUAUUAUUAUUCAUUGUAUCAAGUCCGUAGCAACAAUAUACCUCAGUGGGGUUUCACUAGCACAUUAUUGUUGUGAGCUGAAUAGAAGUCUUCCACCUUCCCAGCCCACAUGACUUAGUGUAUAAGAGCAACCAGAAUAGCUCUAGCUUCCCUAAGAGACUCCUAAGAGAAUGGAUAAGAGGAAGUCGAGUCUAUUUUUUCCUCAAGAAACCAAGCACACUUUCCCCAGAAACUGGAAAGCACAGGUUAUUUAGGUUUUUGAUGGAAUUUAUUGAUUUGUUAGUGUUAUGUUUCAGUGUCUCUUGAAACUUUAAACCAUUUGUAUUCUAUACACUGCCUUACAUUCUUUCAGAAAUAGAUGGGACAUAAAUUUAAAAUAAAUAAAGGUACAGUUUAAUCUAUAUAAACUACAGCGUUGUCAACACUUAAUCACAUAAUAUGUUGGUGUAUUUGUUUCAUGGUUAUGAGAUUCAGUUGAUCAAUUUUUUUCUUACAGGAUGAAUCCAUUGCUUUACUUUGUUUAUAUGAUAUUUAUACUUUCUUACCCUAAGUAGAGAAUGUGACUGACUGCUUCAUUUAAGCAGCCCUGAUCUUAAAGCAAUGCAUAAUAGAGAAAAGAUAUGAAAAAAUAUGCCACUUCUUUUAAGUUCCUGGGGGAAUAUACAGCCCUUUCAAAUACAUCUAAGAAUAAUUUGUCUACAAUGUUAUAAUUCAGCCUAUAAUUUAUUUUCAGACCUUUGUUAUCAUUUUCUUUAUUAUAUUUGCUCUUCUGCCAAAAAUAAAGCUUACAUAUAUCUGACAAUAUGUAUUUUUAAUAAAGUUAUGGAAGAGCUUUCAGCUUUGAAGCACAUAGGAUUUGAUAAAGGUCUUCCAGUCUUAUUUUAAGAAUAAUAGUGAAGAUUCUAUGAUUCAGACUGAACAAACAUUUAUUGAAAAGCUACAUGUUCCAAGUGCUUUCUCGUGAUAUCUCAUGUGAUCUUUAUAACAAUGUGGUGAGGAAGGUAUUAUUAGCAUCUCUGUUUUACAGAUGGGCAACUGAGACUCAUGGGAACUAAGUUGCUUACUGUUACACAACAGAAUGGAAAAUACCUAUGAAGCAGCCUGACACAUGGUAGGCAUUCAGUAAAUACUUGCCAAGCCGGAAAAUACACUGCAUUUUGAGACAAAUACUGUUUCUUUUCAUCAUUCUCAAAUCCCACCACACUAAAUGAGUAAACAUGAGGCUUAGCAAGCAUUCUGACUCAUUUAUGUAUGUAAUUUUGUAAGUAAUCUGUUAUUUUAUCUGAACAGGAUAUUAAACUGUCUGCCAUUUAAAAAAAAACUCUUUAAGCAUGUUUGAGGCCAAUCUUCUCAAAUUAUAUUGUAUUUUUAGCCCAACAUAUCUCUUUCCUUUAGUGUUUUAUUGAGGUAUCUAAGAGAAAUUGUUUCAGCCAGAGUAGUUUGAGAUUCUUUUAGUCAAUCUAGAAAACCAUCUCCUAUGUUUAAUCAAUGCUUACCUGUCCUAACAGUGAAGUUUGGGAUUUGCAAAUGGCAAAUUGCUUUAAGGUCAGUCUUCAUGUUUUACUAAUUUAUCCCCCCAAGCUCCUAACACGGUGCCUAGUAUAUCAUAGAUAUUCAAUAAAUAUCAGAUAAAUGAAAUAAUGGAUGAACAGUUUCCAUAUUGAAUGUCACAUACAUAUUGAACAAGUAAUUCCUCCCUGAAAUGUUUCUUUGGGUUGGAUUCAAUAAGGCUAGUUAGGACAAUGUUCAAACUCUACUACUUGCUUACUGUGGGAAUUUGAUGUAUUCGUAUAACAGCUGUAAGCCUCAGUUUUCUCCUUUUUAAAAUGGUAACAAUGAAUUCUAUUCACUGUAGUGACAAAUGUUUCGUAAAUGUCUGGGAAUGCUGUGGGGGAAAACAGA